GCUGGGCGUGGUGGCUUCUGCCUGUAGUCCCAGCUACUCGGGAGGCUGAGGUGGGAGGAUCGCUUGAGCCCAGGAGUUCUGGGCUAUAUUGUGCUAUGCUGAUCAGGUGUCCACACUAAGUUUGGCAUCAAUAUGGUGACCUCCCAGGAGUGGGGGACAACCAGGUUGCCUAAGGAGGGUUGAACUGGCUCAGGUCGGAAACGGAGCACGUCAAAACUCCCGUGCUGAUUAGCAGUGGGAUCGCGCCUGUGAACAGCCACUGCACUCCAGCCUGGGCAACAUAGCAAGACCCUGUCUCU
Molecule: signal recognition particle RNA, 299 nt
Filed under: Aotus nancymaae (Ma's night monkey)
Lineage: Eukaryota; Metazoa; Chordata; Mammalia; Primates; Aotidae
Description: Metazoan signal recognition particle RNA (ENSANAG00000012325.1)
Rfam family: Metazoan signal recognition particle RNA
About the family: The signal recognition particle (SRP) is a universally conserved ribonucleoprotein. It is involved in the co-translational targeting of proteins to membranes.
Source: RNAcentral